This is a microRNA precursor of Cercocebus atys (sooty mangabey), 61 nucleotides long. The record is from Ensembl. NCBI's taxonomy places the organism in Eukaryota, Metazoa, Chordata, Mammalia, Primates, Cercopithecidae.
GCAGUCUGGCUGUGCUGUCACACAGUCUGCACCCUGCUGCAUUACAGCACAGCCAUUCUCU